Long non-coding RNA from Hemicordylus capensis (graceful crag lizard), 2751 nucleotides. RefSeq lists it as uncharacterized. Lineage: Eukaryota; Metazoa; Chordata; Lepidosauria; Squamata; Cordylidae. The transcript is spliced from 3 exons. The record is from RefSeq and is a predicted model, not a curated record.
UAGCCUUAACUUUCUGCAGAAAUAAACUUUUAAACUUUUAAGUGUGUGUGUCGAUUGGCGUUUUACACCACCCAGACAAGAACCAGUCUAUUUUGGUAUAUCAGAUUGGUGCAUUGGCCUGGAAAGGGGGGAGCACCAGCCUCCCAGUCUGGGAGCAGAGGGCUGACAAAGGAUCCACCAGACUCCGGACCAGCGUGCAUCAGUCAGUUUUACCGAGGAAUGGACUUUCUUGCGGGGUUGUGACCGGUGGAGAGGAGGGCCCAGGAGCGUGGCAAGUCCCAAUAAGCCGAGCAAGAGAUUAUCACAGACGGAUCGUCCUUCAUGGGUAUUGCUAGUGCACAAGAUUGUGUGAAUGACGUCCCUUUCCCUCAUUGAGAACACAAGCACUGAACCAAGUGCCCUGACAGGAGUCUUAAGCAGUGUCCUUCCAAGGUUCUGUUAGUGAUCCAAACAGUAGUCAAGUGCAGGGGAAGGAGUACCUGGAUCCCUGCAUCCCAUUGCCGGCAGGUGACCCCAAGGGAGUCUCCAGAGGACAUCAACCCUGACCCAGAAGAAGGAACUGCUGCAGGCCUGCUGGGAAGUGGCCUUUCAAGUCCUUUCAACAAACUUUACCUCCCUAAAAGUAGCAGGGCAGAAGAGCUGAAUCCACCACCCGAGAGUUCGAUUCCCUGAAAAGGCGAAGAGGAACCAGAGACAGGGGACGUCCAGGGUAACCUAGACCCUGCAGCAGAGGAACCCCCACCUCUGUGGGAAACUGAACCCUUAGAUGGUUUAAAGACCUUGUUUAAAAGACCCAAGAACUGCGACACGUCAAGGUGGUAACUGUGAUCAUGCAUCUGUUGUAUAUUGCAGUGUGUGUGAUAAUUCUGCCCAGGGAAGUGCAAGGGGGUGGGAGUGGAAUGAGCUUGUGAAAUUAUACCAGUCAAUCCUCAAAGAUACAGCUUGGAACCAGUCGUGUUGGAUAUGCUCUUUGACAGCCUCCCACAGCAAUCAGGGACUUCCUAAGGUCCCAAUGCCCCUCAACUGGAAGGGUUGGGUGUCCACCCCAACGAAAAGACUACACAGCCAACAUAACUCAAAGGAGUUGGAUGAGACACAGUAUGAGUUAUGGAAGGACACGUGGGGAGCCGACUUAUGUUUCAGCUUUGCAAAAGGCCCCCUCCAAUUGGGCCAUUGGCCACAAUGUAACCUAACUCUAAUGUAUAGCCAGAAGAUGAAGGGGUGGACAUUGGGGAACACCAGUACUCCACUAUCUGAGGACAGCACCCAACUAUCCGAUAGGCUGGACAUGCCAGUGCAAGACACCAGCCUAAUCAGAGUCACUCUACUCGAACUCACGGCCUUCCUAAAAGAUCCGAAUAUGCCGGCCUCUCAAGUUCCUGGCCUUUACUGGUUUUGCGGAACUCAAGGAUAUAAGCUUCUGCCAGCCAACAGUACCGGCACGUGCACCUUAGGUUGGAUCUGCCCGGAGGGGCAUCCACGCAUUGCCCAUCUCUGCCAUCAGGCAUUCUAAAAACCUCAACCAUCCUAACCCUCACUUUAAGUGGGCGGCUGAUUCUGGGCUAACCUACUCGGUGGAAACAGGAGUCCUCCUCGGGGGUCUGUUUCCCUUGUGGGGAGUAGCCAAAAACUAUGAAGAUUUGCGCACACACUGGGCAACUUCGUUAGGAAUGCAUCGGAAGCCCUAGAGAGAUUAGCCAACGAAACGAUCACUCUCCCCUCUGCCCUACUAACGGAGGAGGAGGCCUCACUCCAGAAGGUCGUAUUGCAGAAUAGGCUGGCUCUAGACUCUGAUUUGUUGAGCCAUGGUGGAGUAGUAUGCAAAUAUCUGAACCAAACUUGUUGUAUGUAUGUAGAUGAAACCGGUCAAAUUGAAACCUCUCAAGGGAAGCUGCACAGCAUUGUUGAAGAGCUCAGAUGAGACCGAGGAACCUUGGAUGAAGCCCUAAAUUCAUCCAGUGGGCUAUGGCAUAACUUAUGGUCAUGGCUCCCGCAGGAGGAAUGGUGGACCGGUAUAGUUAAGGGAAUCUUAUCUGCUAUAGCUAUUGGUAUUGCUCUUUGUUGCCUUACAGGAUGUUUCCCUUCACUUGCUCAAAUGUUGGUUGGAUUGUGCAAGCCAAAGGUAGGGCAAAGAAAGAUGUAUAUGGCUUUUAAAAGGUUGGAGGAGGCGACUUCUUCCUAAACGGAAGUCUUGCUCCAAAGGGGGGACUGAUAUGUGAGCCAAAGUGGAACCAUUUCGAACCUAUAGUUGCUUACCUCCUGUUGGUCAAGCCAAGUAUUAGAAUCAAACUAGAGGGGCCCCAUAUGGGCCUCUCACUGAUCUCUAUCUCUCUUUUCACACUUUGGCUUCCCCUGUUGCAAUUUCCUGACUUGCAAAUUGUUGCUUUCACACUUCCAAGGCACAGGCCUUAGCCUUGCAGGUAAGCAGAGGCACAGAGAGGCCCCUCGUUGAAGGAAAAGACAAAAGAGAACAGAACAAGACUGUAAAAUGCAGAUUUUGUUUAUUGUUUGAUGUGAAGAAGAGACCAAAAUGCAUACAUGCUAUCUUGCAGGUAAUAGAAAGGAGUGGACUCAAUGACCAUGCAAUUGUAAGUGUAUAAAUACUUAUUUGUAACAAAGGGGCUUUGCUCUCGAUUUGGGUGGGACCUCAAAAGCCUUACUUUCUGCAGAAAUAAACUGUUAAGCUUUACCUCUGGUUGUGUGUUAAUUGGUGUCAACACCACCCAGACAAGAACCAGCUCCUUUCUGGUA